CUCCCUACGGGGCGCAGCAGUGGGGAAUAUUGGGCAAUGGACGCAAGUCUGACCCAGCAACGCCGCGUGAAGGAAGAAGGCUUUCGGGUUGUAAACUUCUUUUAAGGGGGAAGAGUAGAAGACGGUACCCCUUGAAUAAGCCACGGCUAACUACGUGCCAGCAGCCGCGGUAAUACGUAGGUGGCAAGCGUUGUCCGGAUUUACUGGGUGUAAAGGGAGCGUAGACGGUGAUGCAAGUCUGGAGUGAAAGGCGGGGGCCCAACCCCCGGACUGCUCUGGAAACUGUAUGACUUGAGUGCAGGAGA
Molecule: ribosomal RNA, 305 nt
Filed under: uncultured bacterium
Lineage: Bacteria
Description: bacterial SSU rRNA
Rfam family: Bacterial small subunit ribosomal RNA
Source: RNAcentral